AUUGAACGCUGGCGGCAGGCCUAACACAUGCAAGUCGAGCGGAUGAAGGGAGCUUGCUCCUGGCUUCAGCGGCGGACGGGUGAGUAAUGCCUAGGAAUCUGCCUGGUAGUGGGGGAUAACGUCCGGAAACGGGCGCUAAUACCGCAUACGUCCUGAGGGAGAAAGUGGGGGAUCUUCGGACCUCACGCUAUCAGAUGUGCCUAGGUCGGAUUAGCUAGUUGGUGUGGUAAAGGCCUACCAAGGCGACGAUCCGUAACUGGUCUGAGAGGAUGAUCAGUCACACUGGAACUGAGACACGGUCCAGACUCCUACGGGAGGCAGCAGUGGGGAAUAUUGGACAAUGGGCGAAAGCCUGAUCCAGCCAUGCCGCGUGUGUGAAGAAGGUCUUCGGAUUGUAAAGCACUUUAAGUUGGGAGGAAGGGCAGUAAGUUAAUACCUUGCUGUUUUGACGUUACCAACAGAAUAAGCACCGGCUAACUUCGUG
RNAcentral lists this ribosomal RNA (484 nucleotides) under uncultured bacterium. RNAcentral's name for it is "partial 16S ribosomal RNA". It matches the Rfam family "Bacterial small subunit ribosomal RNA", at positions 30 to 507 of the family's 1533-position model. The record is from RNAcentral.